Molecule: long non-coding RNA, 10639 nt
Filed under: Nicotiana benthamiana
Lineage: Eukaryota; Viridiplantae; Streptophyta; Magnoliopsida; Solanales; Solanaceae
Description: long non-coding RNA (NBEN_LNC020355)
Rfam family: Group I catalytic intron (bases 161-840)
Source: RNAcentral
UUAAGAAAAUCAAAGAGGAGAAAACACAUUUUCGAGAUAGGAAUCGGUAUCUAAUGAAUUCAAUGGUUCCAGUAUAAAUGAAAGAAAAAGAAAAAGAAAUGACAUCACAACGAGAUCCUAAUCUCAAAAAGAAAGAGGGAUAUGGCGAAAUCGGUAGACGCUACGGACUUAAUUUGAUUGAGCCUUUGUAUGGAAACUUACUAAGUGAUCACUUUCAAAUUCAGAGAAACCCUGGAAUUAACAAAAAUGGGCAAUCCUGAGCCAAAUCCUGUUUUCCGAAAACAAANNNNNNNNNNNNNNNNNNNNNNNNNNNNNNNNNNNNNNNNNNNNNNNNNNNNNNNNNNNNNNNNNNNNNNNNNNNNNNNNNNNNNNNNNNNNNNNNNNNNNNNNNNNNNNNNNNNNNNNNNNNNNNNNNNNNNNNNNNNNNNNNNNNNNNNNNNNNNNNNNNNNNNNNNNNNNNNNNNNNNNNNNNNNNNNNNNNNNNNNNNNNNNNNNNNNNNNNNNNNNNNNNNNNNNNNNNNNNNNNNNNNNNNNNNNNNNNNNNNNNNNNNNNNNNNNNNNNNNNNNNNNNNNNNNNNNNNNNNNNNNNNNNNNNNNNNNNNNNNNNNNNNNNNNNNNNNNNNNNNNNNNNNNNNNNNNNNNNNNNNNNNNNNNNNNNNNNNNNNNNNNNNNNNNNNNNNNNNNNNNNNNNNNNNNNNNNNNNNNNNNNNNNNNNNNNNNNNNNNNNNNNNNNNNNNNNNNNNNNNNNNNNNAUGGAAGCUAUUCUAACAAAUGGAGUUAAAUGCGUUGGUAGAGGAAUCUUUACAUCGAAACUUCAGAAAGAAAAAGAAUGAAGUGAAGGAUAAACGUAUGUACAUACGUAUUGAAUACUAUAUCAAAUGAUUAAUGAUGACCGACGCAUGUUUAAGAAUAUUCGACAUGUAUGAUUCGUUCACUCGUCGAGGCUCAUUAGUUUAGGUCGUGACAAUUAUGUUGUGAUUUGCAAUCAAAUUUAUUAUUCAUUAAUUUCUUUUUGGUAUUACUAUUUGGGCUUAGUGCAUUAAUCGCCAUUUUUAGGAUCCCAAUUUAAAGAAUGCCAAAAAAUUUUAAAUUUAGUCGUCUCAAAAUCAGCUUCAAACAUGUAUAUCUGAAGUUUUCAAAUUGAAACUUAUAAGUCUGAAGUUGGCUUCUGGCAGUUUAGAUUCACGCUUUAGGUCUGAAUUUGAAUUUUGGCUUUCAAUUUCAGACCUUCGGCUCUAAAUGAAGCUUUGGCAAAGCUAAACAGAUUUGAAGAAACAACAUGUCUUGUUUAAAAUUUGCUCAACUUUAAAAUACUUUCAAAGUUUUCACACACCGUAGGGAGAGUCAAACCAUCGUUUUUGCCACUUGGCACUUCAGUGGAAUUUUAAAUAUGGAACAUUAUAGUUCAAAGGGAUAAUAAUUAAUAACAAUAUAUCAUAAUUUAUGUAAUAAGUUACAAGAGGUGAAUAAUUCACAGGAUUUUUAUAUAUUAACCAUUUUUCUUUUUUACAUUGAAUAUUGAUUGACAAAGUAACUCCAUAAUCUGACGGCUCAUUGUACUCUUUACAUAAGGGUCGUUUGAUAUGCAGGAUAGGGUGAGAUAAGGGGUGUAAUUCUAAAUUUAUAUUAUAUUUGAUUGACGGUAUUAAUUUAUUUCAGGAUAAAGUUAUAUAAUCAGUCACAUAUAACAAUUAACUUUAAUCCCCAACUUAAUCCUAGAUGUCUUAUCCUAUCCCAUCAAACUUGAAAUUAUUUUAUCACAUUAGUUCAGGGAUUAUAAUCUCAAAGUUAUAAUCCUAAUAUAAUUUAGUAUGCAUACCAAAUGGUGCCGAUGGACAAAAUAAUAAACAAAUUCAUAACAAAUGUACGGUCAAACCUCUCUAUAACAACGUUAUUUGUUUCAAGAUGUUUUGGCUUUUAUAAUGAAUGGUUGUUAUAUACCUAUAACAGCAUUUGACGUUCAAAUAUUUGUUUCGCUGUUAUAGAUAAAAAUUAUCCAAAAAUCAAUUAUUUUUCUUUUUUUUUAACGGAGAAGGGUGAAUAAUAUCCCUGAACUAUUGAUAAAGGUCUAAAAAUACCCUCCAUCCACCUAUUGAUCUAAAAAUGCCUUUACAUUCACCUUUUUGGUUCAUUUAUGCUCUUUGAUUGUUAGGUCAAUGCUGAAAAAUAAUUAUUUAAUUAGACGUGGAAACUUCUUAUUGGUCGAAUUAAAACAUAUAACUUAUUAGAAAGACCACUCAUAUCUACCAUUUUUUCGGACUAACCUGCCCCGAAUAUGACCCGAAUAAAAAGUUCAAAUAAAAAAAUGCUCCAUUUCCAUCUGACCCAUGAAUUUACACGUGUUCCUUUUCUUGAUUAAUCUCAUGUAUAUCAUUAUCAUCGAAUAAAGGUUCAUGACCAAAUUAAACAAACAAGAAAAUCAUAGCAUGAACGAGCUAAUUAUUUUCUUGAUAAUAAUGUGGGAUGGAAAAGUAUGGGUAGUCUAACGGUUUAUGAUAUCAUCCAAACAAUCACUUUAAGAUCCUUCUGUUAUGUGAAAAUGAUUAAAUGAAACUCAACUUUGCUUAACCAAAAAAUAGAAUUUCAGUCAAAGCUUUAAUUUAGAAGAACUCGGGUUACUGAUAAUCAAAGAAUGGAAAAUGAUUUUGCCAAUAAUAAGAUAAUCAGAAAAAAGCCAAAGUAAACCAAUGUAUUCAAAUAAUAUUUCGCGUCCUACAAAUGAUUCAUCUCCUCCUUUUUAUAGUUAUUUCUAAGAUAUACGUUUUGCUUUUGUCAUAAUUGAGUUAUUAUGGACAAUUAAAAGCAUUAAAUGCUAUGUUACACAUUCAUUAUAACUUAAUAUAGAUUCUCUAACAUUUUCAAUAUUUAAUGCUCGUUAAAUAUUGUACCUGUACUUCCUUAUACUAUCAUGUUCAUUCUCCAGAAUUCUUGGAUUUGAAUAUAUACGAGUGUCGAGUCUACUCGUGCCUCUGCUCGUGCCAGUGCUCGUAUCUGUUGCAACUCGUGCAUAUUUGCUAAUCACCAUUCUUUGACCGACCUUCAUGUCAUGACGUGGAAUCCUUAAACACUUUGAUAUGUAUAAACUCAAUUUUUUCUAAUACAGAUGAUCCCUUCACUUGCCAUUUAUUCAUCGAUUGAAUAUCUGAGAAGUGGAUUUUAUUAAAGCUGGAUUUUUGCCGCCGUUAAUGUUUAUCAUAGAAUCGUUAUUUCAAUUGUCACUUCCAUUUAGUUCUUGUCACACGUGGCAUCUCUUUGUUGGUUCUAAGAUUUUGCAGUGCCUUUUAAGGCUUUUUUUACGGCUUCACCAAUUACGAAGCGACGGUUUUCAUUAUGACCUUUCCAUCAUUACGUCUUUUCCUUUGACGGUUGCUUCCUAGUAUAAACAUAGUUUUCGUUUUUGGUUUUGUCUCAUAAAGUUCAAAUUUUUAGAAUUAAAUUCCCAAUUUCAUCUUCCUCGUAAAACUUUCUAGAAUAUUCAGCUCUUGUUCUUCAUCUACCUCGUAUUUCCAUGGCUUCACCAAACCCUAACCCUAGGAGAGUUACCAUAGUUGAUAGUCUUCCUCUUUCCCCUAAUAGGAGUAUAAGGGGAGGAAGUAGACAACAAAAUUUAGGGUCUUUAUUUACACGUGGUUCUUCUCUUCCUACAUCCAGUUCUGGCCCUUCGUCUAGAACUAGAUGUUCUCUUUCACAUAGACCUUCUUUUAGAGGCAAGGAAUCCUCCGAGCCUCUCCAUGAACCUCUAAUAGAGGAGAUAGUUCCUACAGAACUUUCUAUAAUGAUAAACAGUCUCUUAGAAAUCAAUUAUCUUCUUUGGACCGUACUUAUAUCUAUUCAACUCAAAUUACUGAUUAUUUAAUUUCUUUGAUCCAUAGAGAUUGCCAUUGGGGUCAUGAUUUCCCUAUCAUAAUUCCUAAUGCGAAUUAGAGAAUCUCCUCUUAUUUAAUAGGAUUUUCUUUUGUUUACACAUACCCAUUAACAUUAGGUUUCAAACCUGCUAUUGACCCUGUUAUUCUCAAAUUCUUUCGAUUUUUUGAUGUUUGUUUAGGUCAAAUUAGUCCCAUAAUAUGGAGGGUUGUCACCUGUCUUAGAGAUUUGACUAACAUGGCUGGUAUGCUUUUCACAUUUGCCCAUUUUAUUCAUAUCUACUCAUCUAAACAUUUUUGCUAUGGAGUGUUUUACUUUAGUAGAGAGUUUUGGUUAGUCCUAAAGACGACAGUGACCAUAGAUGGUACGCCCGAUUUGUUGCUACCCCACUGUUAGUCUAGUAGGUGCAAAAAAUGUUCCCUUCCCUUGGAAAUGGAAUUUCUCCAUAAGUCUUCCGUCUUCCCUUUCUCUCAUCUCUUUUCCCUCGAUUUUAAUGAUCAGUAUUCUAAUUUUCUUUUUCUUUUGCAGCAACCCUGGGAGUUGUUAAUGAAAUUACCAAUUUUUGUGGUUGGGUAGGAAAGCUGUUAAAUGCUGUCCUAAUAUAGGGUAGAUAUUGGAAGUUUCUUUCACAACGAUUUGGUUGGAAAGUAAAAACUCAUGGUAAAAUUUUAUUUAUUUAUUUUUUAUUGUUGUUUGUUUCAUAUAUUGUUUUUCCCUCUUUUUCUUUUGCAGCAACCAUGGGAAUUGUUAAUGAAAUUCCUAAUUUUCGUGGUUGGAUAGGAAAGCUGUUAAAUACUGCCCCAAUAGAUGGUAGAUCUUUUAAGUCUCUUUCCCAACGAUUUGGUUGGAAAGUGAAAACUCAUGGUAAAAUUUUUUUUAUUGCCGUUUGUUUUAUGUAUUGUUAUUCCCUGAACUUAUUUUAAUCCUUCUUUUUAUCAGGAUUUAUAGUUCGAGGGAUUAGUGCAGAGGCAGUCAGCUUCUCGUAUUUCUUUGGAAAGGGCCAAGGAAAUAAUUGUGGGCUCUUCAUCGAAAAGAAAAUUUGUUGAUGACCAAGAUUUUGAAUAAGAGGAAGAUGAGGGUUACUUGGUAAUAAGGCCACGGGCUCGUAGACAUAUUAUCUCUAAUGAUGAAGUAUCUCCUCGCCGUUCUAUUCCUCUUACCGAAUCUGUUGAAGCCCGGGUGGUGAUUUCUGAUGAUGUUGAUGAUGAUGUCCCCACUACUGCUCACAAUUCUGUUGAGAAACUUUUUAGCCGCGGGUUUGAUAAUGACAAAUUUGAUCCGGUUUCUGAUGAAGCACCCCUGGCUUCUUUUACUACUUUUGUUCCUGUGAUUCCUUUUUUGCCUAUUGUGACUAUUACUGUUCCUCCACAAGCUGUUUUAACUGCUUCUACCGUUCCUCCCUAAACUACUCCUUCCUCAUAUGUCCCUUACCCCAAAGUUAGGUCAUCAAGCAGAGGUGAAGUUAUAAAGUAAGUCUCCGUUGAUGUUCCUGUUGAGGGUAACCUUUUAAGGAAAUCAGGUCAAGCUGAAGUGUGGCUAAAGCCUUUGAUUGGCCCAAUCGAGAAAGCUAAGCUUGAUAGCUAUAGAUCCUUGACCUUGAUUAACGAUAUCGUGCAUGCUUCUUUAAAGGUAUCCCUUUUCUAACUUUACUUUACCUUUUCUAUUUUCAGGGUUCUUACUCAUUUUCCCCCUUCCCCCUUUUUAGGUCAAUCUCACCGGCACGGAGAUGAUGAAAAGAGUUACCAUUUCAGAGGAAUUAGUUCGUAACUAUUGGGUGGAGGUGGAUAAUUGGAAGGAACGGUAUGAAGGUCUUCAAAUUGACAUACAAACGUUAGAAUAGAGUAAAGAUACCUUAGAGCAACAGGUAAGGGCUUUGACUUCAGAAUUGGCAGUUGAAAAAGCAUUUUCAAGUCAAGCAAGCAAAGAAAAGAUCGUCUCGAACCUUAUUUUCUGAACAACUUUGCAACGGAAUUGAAGAAAUCAGUGAAUUGAAGGCUCUUUUGGAUAAAAAAGGAGCAUAUGCUGGUGAACUUGUGCAAGAUUUGGCCCAAGCUCAAGAAGACCUUCGAGUAUCCUCUGAUAAAGUUUGCACCUUUGAAAAUUCUCAUGCUUCUCUUCAAGCUUCUUAUGAAUCUUUCUUGGCUGAAAAUGAGAAUUUAAGAAAUGAAAUUUCUGACUGGUAAAGAGACUACGAGAUUCUUGAAAAUAAAUCUACCAUUGAAAUGAGUUGGGCGUUCUUAAAUUCUCGCCAUGAUACCUUCGUUAAAGCUAGCCGGGAGAAUUUUGACUUAGAAUCUAAGUUAGGCAAGAUUAAAGAGACUAUUGAAAGAACUCAACAGAACCAAGUUCUUUCUCCUCCCGCGGAUGAAGCUAUUAAUAAUGUUGAAGAUGAUACAGGUAUCCUCACUCCUUCAAGUCAAGUUGAGCCUGCUGUUAUUGAUGUCCCUACUUCAAUCCCUUCAUCAAAUCAGUGAAAAGUUUAUACUGUUUGAAUUUUUUUGUGUUGUUUUUUUUCUUUUGAUGAAAAUGUGGUUAUAACCCUUGGUCUCUUUUGAGGAUUUUGUUUUGAAAUCUUAAGUCCCCAAACCUUUUAUGUAUAAACAAUUGUUGACUAAGUUCAUACUUAGUCUAAACUUUUUAACAUUAAGUUUUCGUUACUAUUUGAACUUAUGUUUCGUUUAUUCUUUCAUUUAUUUCUAAGGACUUACUGAAUAACUUGCAUUUUUAUUCUUCAAAAAUACUUCUGCUAAUUUCAUGAAUACUUACAUUAAUCAUGAAUUUUAUAAAAGAGGGCCUUUUUAUAUCCGACACUUAAUGAAGAAGACGUCUCAACUUCAUAACGGUGUUAAUAUACGAUAACAGAAAUAGGAAUACAUAUGUUUUUUGAAAUGACUUUGACACGUUUUUAUUUGAACUUUUUCUAGUUUUGAUUAACACUUUUACAUGUAUUUGGAUUAUAUCUGUAAUUUUCUCGUAACUGUUUUUCUUACAACAGAUUUUAAAGAGAAAAUGUACACAAGGUUUGUGCAUAUAACCCGUUUCAGUACAUUACAAAGUAAAUAAAUACAAAGUUUUUAUUUAUAACCUAUUUUAGUACUUUGACUUUACCUUGUAUAUGAUAUGGUUUUUAUUUGGUUUUAGCUCAUGACUUUGCUCUGCACUUGAUUCAUUCAAUGAGUGAACUUUUCAGGCUUGAUCUUUGAUUGUUUCUCAAUCUUCUUCUUUGCCUUCUUAAUAGACAAGUCUAUGUAUAUUAUAUAGUCCCAUAAGUGUUUGAGGUUGAAGUAUGAAUCCUUGAGCACUUGAUUUUCUCUCUUAUUUUGGUCCUUUUCCUGUAAAAGGAAAAACAUACAGGACUUGAAGGUGCGAUUUUAUAUGAAGACUGCUUAACCCGUAUCAAUUUCUAUCAGAAUAAUUGUAACGCUAGACCGAACUAUGUAUAUUAUAUAGUCCCCCAAGUGUUUGAGCAUUGAAGUAUGAAGCCUCGAGCACUUGAUUUUCCCUCUCAUUUUUGUCCUUUUCCUAUAAAAGGAAAAAUAUACGGGACUCGAGGUGCAAUUUUAGAUGAAGACUACUUAACCCGUAUCAAUUUCUAUCAGAAUAAUUGUAGCCUUAGACCAGGAAUUCUAAUCAAUUUCACAUGCCUUGCAGGUUGUGACUCUUCAUUUUGUGUGGGUUAGCUUUUUGCCUAUCAUCUAAACUUGUUAGUAUAAUUUUAACAACUCAAAACAAAAAAUUUUAAAUGAGGAUACCAACCCGUGGAUAUUCUUUAGAAAUAAUAUUUCUUUAAGUGAACAGAAUUCCAGUAUGAGGGUAGUAUCUUGCGCCAUCGUCUCUAAUUUGUAUGCUCAUUUCCACGCAAUACGAUGAAUCUUGUAAGAUCCUUCCAGAUCGGUCUUAAUUUACCUGCAUUAGCUGCCUUAGUAGAUUGAAAGAUUUUUUUGAGUACGAAGUCUCCAAUCUUGAAGAAUCUUAGAUGAGCUUUUCGAUUGUAUCAUUCUAUGACCUGCUUUUGUACUAUCAUUCUUAUUAACACGUCUUCUCUUCUUCCUUCAAGUAAAUCAAGAUUUAUCCGCAUUUCUUAAUUAUUAGACCCUUCUGACGUUUGGGUAAACCUUGUACUUGGCUCUCCUAUCUCAACUAAAAUUAAAACUUUAGUUCCAUAAACCAAUGAAAAUGGUGUUCCUCCCGUAUUCGUUUUUGUUGUUGUGCGGUAUGCCCAUAAAAUACCAGGUAACAAUUAUGGCCAAUUACCCUUUGAUUCCUCUAAACGUUUCUUUAAAUUACUUAUAAUGACUUGGUUUGUUGAUUCGCUUGUCCAUUACCCACCGGAUAAUAAGGUAUGGAUGUAAUUCUUUUGAUCUGCAAACUUUGAAAAAACUUCGUGAUUUGUGCGCCUAUAAAUUGAAGGUCAUUAUCACACAUGACUUCCUUUGGCACACUGAAUCGUCGUAUGAUGUUCCGCCAAAUAAAAUCUCUAACUUCUUUUUCUCGUACCUAUUUGAAUGCUCCUGCCUCCACCCAUUUAGUAAAAUAGUCAGUGAGUAUGAGCAAAAAUUUUACCUGUUCUUUUGCUUGUAGUAGUUGUUACACCUCCUUUUUUUACACACCUGAAUGUGGUAUAUAAGGGAGUUUUUCCAAUUUAAGUGACAUUAUUCGAAGUGGAAUUAUUUAUUUAUUAGAGUCGCCACCUGAAAUUUUUUAAUUGGUGUCCCAAGUUGCCGGUUUAUUUUCCCAAAAUCGAGAAAGAUUUCGACUUUCCUUUUGAAGUCUGCGAACCAGAAAUUCUGAAUAAGGAAUUCUGUUAACCCGGGGGAACGUGUUAGACACCCCCGGAUUUCGUGAUUCUAGCAAGGUUGCAUAACUAUUACAAAUGGUCUAUUAUCUGAUUUUAAUACAUGUCUUAGCCUAUAAUACAUUUUAACUUAUUAAAACCGCUUUUGAUUAUUUUUUAGGAAGAUACAACGUUAUUUAAAACACGCCUUGAACCACGUCACAUGAAAUACACCCGCGAUCCACGACACAUUUUAUUUAACGUUGUUGAGAAUUGGAGUUGGGUCACAUAAAAUAUACCCCCGAAUUUAAGGAAAUUAAUUAUUAAAAUAAUAUGCCUAAAACUACCGGCGCAUUUGGAUUAUUUUCCUGAUCUUUGAAAUUACUGCCAAGAAUUAUGGAGAUUAAUUGUGACAUAUGAGUAAACCUCAUACUGAUCUAAUCAUAAUCAAACAUCUUCCAAAAUCCAACAAAUCUCAAUCACGUCACAACAAAUAAACUAAAACAAUUGCUAACUAACACUAAAAUAACGCCACUAAAUAUUGCUAAAAAUAAAAAAUACAAAGAGAUCACAUGAAAUACUUUUGAUCAUUGAAACAAACAAACUUUCCAUGAAAUAGUUGGCCAUUAACUCCAUGUGUGUUCAAAUUUCUCAUUUAAUCGAGUAAUUAAAAUCAGAUAUCAAAUAAUAUGAAACACACAACAUCAUACUUUUAAAGAGAAAUCAACGAAAUAGCUUCGACUUGGAGAUAUGUAGCUAGAAUAUAUAAUUAGAACUGAAAGCUAUUUGUUGGAAAACACGCCAUAAUUCUUCUGCAAGAUAAAAGUAGAUUAUUUGUUUCACACAUAGAGGUAACUGAGACCAAAUCAAGCUUGCAUUUAAAGUUGAAGCAUUUUUCACAUAGGGAUGACUGGCUACAGCAGAACCUAGCAAUAUGAUAGCAAAAUAGCAUCCAUACUGUUUGAAACAAGAAUUCGUACCUUAACAGCAUGCAAACAGAAUUUGAAAAAAAAAAAAACCAAACAGUGUCUCAGCAAAGCAAGCUUAGCAAAGGGCGGCUUCAAUUCCCAGCCAAAGAAAACAGCUCGAAACCCUAGCGACGGCGAGGUAUUGCAACAGAAAUCAAAACAGCUCUUGUGACCUUCUUUUCUAUGAUUUUUCCAUUCGUGUUUUUUUUAGUUUUUUUUUUAUUUAUUCUUCUUGGGGCUAAAGGGCAGGGUCUGAUUUGGUUGUUGAGAAGAGAGUGUCGUUUCAAUUGUGAGGGAGUUGCUAGGGUUCAAUCGUCUAUUGUUUUGGAGAGAGAGAGAGUCUGGUUAUUUUCUCUUAUUUUUUUAAGUCAUAAAAUGAGGAAGAAGAAGAUGGGUGAGCUGAGGAUAAGAAGCUGCAGUGCUUUUAGGUGCUGAAGAAAUGGGUAUCUCCAUUUUCCUUUGUUCUCCUGCACCGCUUGGAUCUACUGAAAGAGUCUCUGCUUCCUUUUCAAAGGAAUAUAGGAUCCGAUGUGUGUCUUUUAGGUUUUCUAAAUAAAAUUUUAUAUGUAGGGGUAGAGUAAAAGUUAAUGAGUACGUAGGUAAGGAGAUUGAACUUAGUCUGGACAGAUUUUAAGUAUAGGAUUUGGCCCCAAUUCAAAUUAAACUCUUUUUCUAGUUUUCUUUCUUUUAUUUUCCAAUUUUUCCCUUUUUUAAUUAAAAUUUUACAAAUUAAAAAUUCUAAAUUAUUCAAAAGUGUAAAAUUAAACUAAUUAUAAAAAACUACUUAAUUCUAAAUUAAUAGAGAGAAAAAAAUCAAUAAAAGAAAAAGUGUAAAAAUGAACUAUUUUAGUGAUUUUCAAACUUAUAAAACAAAUACUUACAAGUUAAUUUUAAAAAUAUAAAAAUAAGUCCUAAAUGCAGUGUAUAAUAUUUUGCUUUUUUUUUCAUGAUUUAAAUAAAACUUAAACAUUCACAAGAAUGCGCACAAUUAAAUAAAAAACUACAAAAAAGUUUUAAAUGACAAAUAAUUAUG